CCCUUAGAUGUUCUGAACCGCACGCGUGUUACACUGAUGCAUUCAACGAGCUUUACCUUGGCCGAGAGGCCUGGGAAAUCUUUUUAGCAUGCAUCGUGAUAGGGAUUGAUUAUUGCAAUUAUUAAUCAUGAACGAGGAAUUCCUAGUAAACGCAGAUCAUCAAUCUGCAUUGAUUACGUCCCUGCCCUUUGUACACACCGCCCGUCGCACCUACCGAUUGGAUGGUCCGGUGAAGCCUCGGGAUUGUGGCGGUUGCCUUUAUUGGUGGCCGCCGCGAGAACUUGUCUAAACCUUAUCAUCUAGAGGAAGGUGAAGUCGUAACA
This 323-nucleotide ribosomal RNA is filed under the name uncultured eukaryote. Its description in RNAcentral is "partial 18S ribosomal RNA". It matches the Rfam family "Eukaryotic small subunit ribosomal RNA", at positions 1470 to 1796 of the family's 1831-position model. The record is from RNAcentral.